ACGUCAUUUUGAUGACAAUUUCUUUGCAACCCCUUAUAACGCUCCCAUGCCUCAUAAAGUGAUUCACCCGGAUUUUGCUCAAAGUUAGCUAUUGCCUUCUGGAGUUU
Lactuca sativa (garden lettuce) is the source of this 107-nucleotide small nucleolar RNA. The record is from RefSeq and is a predicted model, not a curated record. NCBI's taxonomy places the organism in Eukaryota, Viridiplantae, Streptophyta, Magnoliopsida, Asterales, Asteraceae.